UAUAUUAAAUAAUUUAUCGAAUAAUAAAGUAAUUUUUAGUUAUGUUAUAGAGAAUCUGCCCUAAGGGUAGGGUAAGAAUAAAUAAAAAAAAAAAUGAAAAGGUGCAAUCCAAACCAACUAAAUGCAAUUGAGAUGAUAAUGAAGCAUUUCUCUGUUUUCAUUCUGAAAGGUGGAAGCUAAGACGAAAAAAAGAAUCGACCGUUUAAGUAUUCAAAAUUUUACUAA
Non-coding RNA from Benincasa hispida (wax gourd), 225 nucleotides. The record is from RefSeq and is a predicted model, not a curated record. Lineage: Eukaryota; Viridiplantae; Streptophyta; Magnoliopsida; Cucurbitales; Cucurbitaceae.